This 465-nucleotide ribosomal RNA is filed under the name Vreelandella stevensii. Its description in RNAcentral is "partial 16S ribosomal RNA". It matches the Rfam family "Bacterial small subunit ribosomal RNA", at positions 338 to 795 of the family's 1533-position model. Lineage: Bacteria; Pseudomonadati; Pseudomonadota; Gammaproteobacteria; Oceanospirillales; Halomonadaceae. The record is from RNAcentral.
CCUACGGGUGGCUGCAGUGGGGAAUAUUGGACAAUGGGCGAAAGCCUGAUCCAGCCAUGCCGCGUGUGUGAAGAAGGCCUUCGGGUUGUAAAGCACUUUCAGUGGGGAAGAAAGCUUUGGGGCUAAUACCCUCGAGGAAGGACAUCACCCACAGAAGAAGCACCGGCUAACUCCGUGCCAGCAGCCGCGGUAAUACGGAGGGUGCGAGCGUUAAUCGGAAUUACUGGGCGUAAAGCGCGCGUAGGCGGUCUGAUAAGCCGGUUGUGAAAGCCCCGGGCUCAACCUGGGAACGGCAUCCGGAACUGUCAGGAUAGAGUGCAGGAGAGGAAGGUAGAAUUCCCGGUGUAGCGGUGAAAUGCGUAGAGAUCGGGAGGAAUACCAGUGGCGAAGGCGGCCUUCUGGACUGACACUGACGCUGAGGUGCGAAAGCGUGGGUAGCAAACAGGAUUAGAUACCCGAGUAGUC